CGCGUAGGCGGCGCGGGUAGUCGUCGGUGAAAGCUCAGGGCUCAACUCUGAGCCGGCCGGUGAUACUCCCGUGCUCGAGUGUGGUAGAGGCCAAUGGAAUUCCGGGUGUAGCGGUGGAAUGCGUAGAGAUCCGGAAGAACACCGGUGGCGAAGGCGGUUGGCUGGGCCACAACUGACGCUGAUGCGCGACAGCGUGGGGAGCAAACA
This 207-nucleotide ribosomal RNA is filed under the name uncultured bacterium. RNAcentral's name for it is "partial 16S ribosomal RNA". It matches the Rfam family "Bacterial small subunit ribosomal RNA", at positions 568 to 774 of the family's 1533-position model. The record is from RNAcentral.